CCCUUAGAGUUUGAUCCUGGCUCAGAAUCAACGCUGGCGGCGUGCCUAACACAUGCAAGUCGAACGGGAAGGAGAGCUUCGGCUCUCCGGAGAGUGGCGCACGGGUGAGUAACACGUGGGUAAUCUGCCUUUGGGUGGGGAAUAACGAUCCGAAAGGGUCGCUAAUACCGCAUAACGCAGCGGCACCGCAUGGUGACAGUUGUUAAAGGGGGGGAUCUUCGGACCUCUCGCCUGAAGAGGAGCCCGCGCCCGAUUAGCUAGUUGGCGAGGUAACGGCUCACCAAGGCAACGAUCGGUAGCCGGCCUGAGAGGGCGGUCGGCCACACUGGCACUGAGACACGGGCCAGACUCCUACGGGAGGCAGCAGUGGGGAAUUUUGGGCAAUGGGCGAAAGCCUGACCCAGCAACGCCGCGUGAAGGACGAAAUCCCUCCGGGAUGUAAACUUCGAAAGUCAGGAAAGAAAUCCUUAUGGAUAAUACCCAUGAGGGAUGACGGUACCUGACGUAAGCCCCGGCUAACUACGUGCCAGCAGCCGCGGUAAUACGUAGGGGGCAAGCGUUGUUCGGAAUUACUGGGCGUAAAGGGCGCGUAGGCGGCAUGGCAAGUCAGGAGUGAAAGGCCUGGGCUCAACCGAGGAACUGCUUUUGAGACUGCCAAGCUAGAGUGCGGAAGGGGCAACUGGAAUUCCCAGUGUAGCGGUGAAAUGCGUAGAUAUUGGGAAGAACACC
RNAcentral lists this ribosomal RNA (729 nucleotides) under uncultured bacterium. RNAcentral describes it as "bacterial SSU rRNA". It matches the Rfam family "Bacterial small subunit ribosomal RNA", at positions 1 to 710 of the family's 1533-position model. The record is from RNAcentral.